This 71-nucleotide transfer RNA is filed under the name Loxodonta africana (African savanna elephant). It matches the Rfam family "tRNA". From Rfam's summary of the family: Transfer RNA (tRNA) molecules are approximately 80 nucleotides in length. Their secondary structure includes four short double-helical elements and three loops (D, anti-codon, and T loops). Further hydrogen bonds mediate the characteristic L-shaped molecular structure. tRNAs have two regions of fundamental functional importance: the anti-codon, which is responsible for specific mRNA codon recognition, and the 3' end, to which the tRNAs corresponding amino acid is attached (by aminoacyl-tRNA synthetases). tRNAs cope with the degeneracy of the genetic code in two manners: having more than one tRNA (with a specific anti-codon) for a particular amino acid; and 'wobble' base-pairing, i.e. permitting non-standard base-pairing at the 3rd anti-codon position. The record is from Rfam by way of RNAcentral. Lineage: Eukaryota; Metazoa; Chordata; Mammalia; Proboscidea; Elephantidae.
GUAGUGGUUGUUCAGUGCUUGAAUUCCCGCUUUCCACAUGGGAGUUCUGGGUUCAAUUUCCGGCCAAUGCA